UACGUAGGGUGCGAGCGUUGUCCGGAAUUAUUGGGCGUAAAGAGCUCGUAGGCGGUGUGUCGCGUCGGCCGUGAAAACCUGGGGCUUAACUCUGGGCGUGCGGUCGAUACGGGCAUCACUAGAGUUCGGCAGGGGAGACUGGAAUUCCUGGUGUAGCGGUGAGAUGCGCAGAUAUCAGGAGGAACACCGGUGGCGAAGGCGGGUCUCUGGGCCGAUACUGACGCUGAGGAGCGAAAGCAUGGGGAGCGAACAGG
RNAcentral lists this ribosomal RNA (254 nucleotides) under uncultured bacterium. RNAcentral describes it as "partial 16S ribosomal RNA". It matches the Rfam family "Bacterial small subunit ribosomal RNA", at positions 524 to 776 of the family's 1533-position model. The record is from RNAcentral.